UCCAAAAAUAUUCUCCCUUCUCUUUAUAUAAAAAAAACCCUACAAAGUAACUUUAUCUCAUAAAUAACUCUGCCAAAACCCCUUUCCUUGUCUUUCUGGUUUCUUCUUUAACAUCAUUGUAAGUUGUAACUCAUCUGGUCGUAGCCCCGAACCUAUCAUAGCCUUGUUGUCCCAAGGAUGCUCUGUAGCUCAUUUGGUCGCCAGGGAAUUGCAAGAGCUCUUUCAUGAGAAAAUCCAAAUUCUUCCUCAGCCUGUUUUAGC
This 261-nucleotide long non-coding RNA is filed under the name Populus trichocarpa (black cottonwood). RNAcentral's name for it is "long non-coding RNA (PTRI_LNC000609)". Lineage: Eukaryota; Viridiplantae; Streptophyta; Magnoliopsida; Malpighiales; Salicaceae. The record is from RNAcentral.